AGCCAUGAGCUAAACACAAAGCGAACUAUUCUUUCGCCUUUUACUAAAGAAUACCGUGUGUUUGUCUCGCUAAAUGGUAUACCCUUAUUUUUGAAAGAGCCCUCUCUAGAGGGCU
This is a small nuclear RNA of Vigna unguiculata (cowpea), 115 nucleotides long. RefSeq annotates it as U5 spliceosomal RNA. The record is from RefSeq and is a predicted model, not a curated record. Lineage: Eukaryota; Viridiplantae; Streptophyta; Magnoliopsida; Fabales; Fabaceae.